CCUACGGGUGGCAGCAGUGGGGAAUAUUGCACAAUGGGGGAAACCCUGAUGCAGCGACGCCGCGUGAAGGAAGAAGUAUUUCGGUAUGUAAACUUCUAUCAGCAGGGAAGAAAAUGACGGUACCUGACUAAGAAGCCCCGGCUAACUACGUGCCAGCAGCCGCGGUAAUACGGAGGAUGCGAGCGUUAUCCGGAUUUAUUGGGUUUAAAGGGUGCGUAGGCGGACAGUCAAGUCAGCGGUAAAAAUGCGGUGCUCAACGCCGUACAGCCGUUGAAACUGGCAGUCUUGAGUGGGCGAGAAGUAUGCGGAAUGCGUGGUGUAGCGGUGAAAUGCAUAGAUAUCACGCAGAACUCCGAUUGCGAAGGCAGCAUACCGGCGCCCGACUGACGCUGAGGCACGAAAGCGUGGGUAUCGAACAGGAUUAGAUACCCCUGUAGUC
RNAcentral lists this ribosomal RNA (439 nucleotides) under uncultured bacterium. Its description in RNAcentral is "partial 16S ribosomal RNA". It matches the Rfam family "Bacterial small subunit ribosomal RNA", at positions 338 to 795 of the family's 1533-position model. The record is from RNAcentral.